UGGACCUUGGCUAAAUGGGACAGCGGCCGGUUGUUACCCGGAUGAUGACCAGGUUCGAUUCCUGGAGGUUCAG
This 73-nucleotide transfer RNA is filed under the name Rhodocyclaceae bacterium. RNAcentral describes it as "tRNA-Asn". It matches the Rfam family "tRNA". From Rfam's summary of the family: Transfer RNA (tRNA) molecules are approximately 80 nucleotides in length. Their secondary structure includes four short double-helical elements and three loops (D, anti-codon, and T loops). Lineage: Bacteria; Pseudomonadati; Pseudomonadota; Betaproteobacteria; Rhodocyclales; Rhodocyclaceae. The record is from RNAcentral.